GAAAGAUGAGAAUAUAAACAUGGACAAACACGUUUAUAGGCUCCAGAAAAAAAUAGUCUAGCGUUUCCUUAAAUCACUUUUGCCGCGUUGCGUGUUCUAGCAAACGUUCUAGCAAACGCUCUCACUAGCAAACUAGCUCGUUUGCUAGUGAGACCGCCGAAUCCUAACCACAAGACAGCCAGGGACGAAAACCGAGAAAUUGGUGGCCUCUUUGCUGGCCAUGCUGGCCCCUGUCUACCACCAAAAGCUCCUACAAAAGGCACGUGAGUGUCAGCACUGGAAAGUGGAGCAAUAAGAUGGUGGCUUGGUCUGAUGAAUCAUGUUUUCUUUUACAUCAUGUAUGGCUUAGGGUUAGGGUUAGAAAAGGCUUGAAAAGACGCUUGGCCAAG
Long non-coding RNA from Ictalurus punctatus (channel catfish), 389 nucleotides. Lineage: Eukaryota; Metazoa; Chordata; Actinopteri; Siluriformes; Ictaluridae. The record is from Ensembl.